AGAAUCAACGCUGGCGGCGUGCCUAACACAUACAAGUCGCACGAGAAAGGGUAGCAAUACCUGAGUAAAGUGGCGCACGGGUGAGUAACACGUGAAUGAUCUACCUCCGAGUGGGGAAUAACUGAGAGAAAUCUUAGCUAAUACCGCAUAACACCUACGGGUCAAAGGAGCAAUUCGCUUAAGGAGGGGGUCGCGGCAGAUUAGUUAGUUGGCGGGUAAUGGCCCACAAGACGGUGAUCUGUA
Molecule: ribosomal RNA, 243 nt
Filed under: uncultured bacterium
Lineage: Bacteria
Description: partial small subunit ribosomal RNA
Rfam family: Bacterial small subunit ribosomal RNA
Source: RNAcentral